GAUGAACGCUGGCGGCGUGCCUAAUACAUGCAAGUCGAGCGAACAGACGAGGAGCUUGCUCCUCUGACGUUAGCGGCGGACGGGUGAGUAACACGUGGAUAACCUACCUAUAAGACUGGGAUAACUUCGGGAAACCGGAGCUAAUACCGGAUAAUAUAUUGAACCGCAUGGUUCAAUAGUGAAAGACGGUUUUGCUGUCACUUAUAGAUGGAUCCGCGCCGCAUUAGCUAGUUGGUAAGGUAACGGCUUACCAAGGCAACGAUGCGUAGCCGACCUGAGAGGGUGAUCGGCCACACUGGAACUGAGACACGGUCCAGACUCCUACGGGAGGCAGCAGUAGGGAAUCUUCCGCAAUGGGCCAAAGCCUGACGGAGCAACGCCGCGUGAGUGAUGAAGGUCUUCGGAUCGUAAAACUCUGUUAUUAGGGAAGAACAAAUGUGUAAGUAACUAUGCACGUCUUGACGGUACCUAAUCAGAAAGCCACGGCUAACUACGUG
RNAcentral lists this ribosomal RNA (497 nucleotides) under uncultured bacterium. RNAcentral describes it as "partial 16S ribosomal RNA". It matches the Rfam family "Bacterial small subunit ribosomal RNA", at positions 28 to 507 of the family's 1533-position model. The record is from RNAcentral.